AUUGAACGCUGGCGGCAGGCCUAACACAUGCAAGUCGAACGAGUGGCGGACGGGUGAGUAAUGUCUGGGAAACUGCCUGAUGGAGGGGGAUAACUACUGGAAACGGUAGCUAAUACCGCAUACCAUCGGAUGUGCCCAGAUGGGAUUAGCUAGUAGGUGGGGUAAAGGAUCACCUAGACGACGAUCCCUAGCUGGUCUGAGAGGAUGGCCAGCCACACUGGAACUGAUACACGGGCCAGACUCAGACGGGAGGAAGCAGUGGGGAAUAUUGCACAAUGGGCGCAGUCCUGAUGCAGCCAUGCCGCGGGUAUGAAGAAGGCCGUCGGGUUGUAAAGUACUUUCAGCGGGGAGGCGUUACCCGCAGAAGAAGCACGGGCUAACUCCGUGCCAGCAGCCGCGGUAAUAC
RNAcentral lists this ribosomal RNA (406 nucleotides) under uncultured bacterium. Its description in RNAcentral is "partial 16S ribosomal RNA". It matches the Rfam family "Bacterial small subunit ribosomal RNA", at positions 29 to 526 of the family's 1533-position model. The record is from RNAcentral.